This is a long non-coding RNA of Lagopus leucura (white-tailed ptarmigan), 255 nucleotides long. RefSeq lists it as uncharacterized. Lineage: Eukaryota; Metazoa; Chordata; Aves; Galliformes; Phasianidae. The transcript has 3 exons. The record is from RefSeq and is a predicted model, not a curated record.
CCCUACCUGAGGUCUUCUAAAGAAGAGUUCCUGAUAAAAUCUGGCAUUGUAAUGAUUUGGAGGCAAGGGUUUCUGAAGGAAAUGGACUGCAGCUUCAACAGCUUCAACAAUGACCUAGUCCUUCACAGCGUGCAUGAGAAGUCUGAGAACUUGUUAAUAGUGAUGACCUGGCAAUAUCCUUUCUCUCCUUAUAGAGCUGGCAAACACAUAACUCACUCUUAUGACUUCACUCAUGCUUUUUCCCACUGACUUACA